AGAGGGGUUUUAUUAGUUGUUUCUCGUCUUAAUUACUUUGCUUUAGAAGGGAUUGACCUUAUGAUAUUCUUGCUUUUAUUCGUUGAUUAUAGUGAGCUAAUAGUGUUCUAUUGGGUGAAUCUCACAUUUGUUAGGUUGGAAUUGGUUUAUAAGUAGUGUAAACCAUUCUAUCCAACGGUUUACUUCCAAAGAUCAAUCUUGGCGUGCACUGAGCUCUACUUUCAGUUUCAGAUUUUCUGUUUACUUAGAUUUUGUUGGCUUACAAUGAGUGAAGGUGUUAGAGUGGGUAGUUCCGCACUAUUCAAAUAAGGGUCUUGGGAUUUUCUUUGUGAAUGAUGGCCUAAGGAAAACUACUUCCAAUUUCCUUUUCCCAUUUACGCUUUAGCAGUGCAGCUUCUAGCUUUUCAGAAAUGAGUAAAUUCCUUUAAAUGGUGGAUAUUACAUUAAUUAUGGAUAGGUAUGCAAAAUAAUGAGAGCUGAAGUGAAAUUAUAUUUGAUUUCUAAGAAUCUCUAGCGAAUAUGGUCAACAGAAUGGAGGGGAAAGAUUCAUGUAACUGACUCAAUUGGUUUGAGAUUAAAGCUUUAUUAAGUUUAGUUCAGUUUUAUAAUACUUAUGCUGCGAAAGACAAAGCAUUAUUUAUCUGUAAAAUCUUUAAAAAAUAAUGAAGGAAGAACUAGUUUCCUAGGUUUUGUACAAUGUACUGAGCCUACCAACAAAUUAUUUAGAAACUGUGCAGGGUACCACAAUUGCCACAGAUAUUCUCUUAAUCUCUUUCUUUGUAUAUUAUGGCACACCAACUAAAUCAUGUCCUAUGGGUUGUAGCUGCUCAUGUAGCGUGAACAAAUUUUUAGCUCAAAAUCCAAUUUUAUAUGGUUAUAUGAUCAUAAGCAUUUUCUGUUUCCUCAAACAACUUCACCUUCCUUGCUUCUGUUGGCUCAUGUGAAUAAAUAAACCUAGUUUAAGUCCUUAUAGGAUACAUUUACAUGUUCCCUUUAUGCAUAAUAAUACUGCUGUUUUAUUUGGUACCGAAUUUGCACAGUAUAUUCACAUUUUCCAUUUGAUGCCAGCAAUCUUACUGGCAAACUAUAUUGUUCAACAUUAUGAACCCCCAGAGUACAAUAAAUCCUAGGAAAGCCCUGGAAGGUGUGCAGGGGAUCCAUGUUGUGCCUCACUCGCCAUUUGCUUUGGAAGAUAUUACUCAACAAGGGGACUUCUCUCAAUCAACAUGUGGAAGUUUACUUAAUAUGGAGAAUCAGCAGCUAUUACUGCAGAGAGUGUGGCAACAAAGACCAGGAUGUUUGAGGCCCAUCAAGUGCGGUAUUAAUGGUGAAGAGAAAUGCCUUUUUAGGUUUUACUUAUCAAUUCAGUUGUUUGUUGUGCUUUCUUAUCUCUUUUACUUUCAUCAGCUGAUUGGAAUCUUACAGAAAGAGUGGCAAAUGUGCUUACGUCACUUCCUUUUAUUGCUCUAGGAUUCCAGGCUCCAAGGUAAUAGUUUUCUUGCCUGACAAUGUGAAUGUUCUUGUACUCCUAUAUCUGAUUAACUGCUCUACUUUGCAUACAGGAAGAACUUGAGUACUAAGUUGUAUGCUAGCUCAUUAGUUGGUGUUGGAGUUGCCUCGAGUUUGUAUCAUUCUUCAAGAGGAAAAAUAAGGAAGUACUUGAGAUGGUUUGAUUAUACAAUGAUAGCCACAGCAACAUUAGUGAGUAGUGUAAAAUAACUUGGUGUUUUUUCGCAAUUAAAACUUGCACAAGGUUAUCGGUAUGUGUGACACUUGAGAAUAUAUGACAAACUUGAACAAUGUUUGUAGUUUUAUUCUUCAAAAGGAAAAAUCAGGGGAGAUGAUUUGGUUAUACAAUGAUAGCCACAAUGACAGUAGUAAAUUAUUUAAAAUAACUUGGUUCGUAUAUGAUAAACUUGAAAAAUGUUUCUGAAACUAGUGCUUCUUUUGCUCAAAGCUAUUCUCUUCUAACAUGCAUGGUAUAUACAAUGAUACAUUCAUCUUUGGCUUUGAUUAGUUGUAAUUUCUUGAAUAUUAUUUUCAUCUUUUACCAUGUUGAGCCCUCGUAUUUUCUUGUUAUCAUACAAUUUUUCACUUCAGUUUCUGGCAGAAGAUCACUUUCUAAUGGUAAACUGCAUCAUAAAAUAUGAUUCUUCACAGGGAAAAUGGUUUUGUCAAUGUUGUCAUGUUGUUCAGUUUUUGGGCUUUUCCUUUGCCACCACCUCCUUAACUCUUGCCUCAAGCAUUUUCAGUUUCUUGUUUAGAAUAAAUUGAUAACUGAGGUUCUUGUUGCAGUGUUUGUCAAGAGCCCUUAGAAAUGAGAACCCUAAGUUGCUGAUGGCAGCAUCUGCAGCAUUAUUGCCUAUCCAGCCUUUACUGGUGUCUGCUGUUCACACAGGGAUGAUGGAGGUGGCAUUUGCAAAAAGAGCACUAAAAGAUCCAGAGCUAAGGAAUGCACAUAAUCUGCAUAAGAUGUCAUCCUUGUUAGGAGGAGUUCUUUUCAUUGCAGAUGAUCUGUUUCCUAGUACUCCUUUCAUUCAUGCUGGUUGGCAUCUUGCCGCGGCUGUUGGUGUUGGCACCUGUAACAGGCUUCUUGAGUAGCACGCCUGUAUCUCAGGUCAGUUUCGUACAGUUCAAUUUAUCCACAGAGCUGCAGCUUCAACUCAAAAACCAGUAUGGCUAUAUAUUCAUGCUCCAUGCAGCCAUGGUCUGGUACAAAAUGAAGGAUUUCCUGUUUGGGUUUAGCUUGUUGCAGUUCAAUGAGUCCAACCCACAUUGGGUUGCCUAAUCGAUUCUGUAUUCUUCCCUGCAUUAGUGAAAAGGAAAAAAAAAAUAGCAUUACCUUCAGUAGAACCGUUGUAUAUCCAAUCUGAAGGAUGUAAUAUUUUCUGUAGAACAGUUUUAGUCUGUAAAACAAUUAGAAAGAAACAAAUUUAUUUUCUUCCUUGCUUUUGGUGAAUGGGGUACAUAUAAAUUGUUUCUUGUAAAUGGGAGUAGCACUGUGAAAACUUCAUUUGGGAAAAAUUCAUCGCUGAAGUUGGC
This 3042-nucleotide unclassified non-coding RNA is filed under the name Hevea brasiliensis (rubber tree). The record is from RNAcentral. Lineage: Eukaryota; Viridiplantae; Streptophyta; Magnoliopsida; Malpighiales; Euphorbiaceae.